RNAcentral lists this ribosomal RNA (377 nucleotides) under uncultured eukaryote. RNAcentral describes it as "partial 18S ribosomal RNA". It matches the Rfam family "Eukaryotic small subunit ribosomal RNA", at positions 592 to 976 of the family's 1831-position model. The record is from RNAcentral.
CAAUAGCGUAUAUUAAAGUUGUUGCAGUUAAAGAGCUCGUAGUUGGAUUUCGGGGCAGCCUGGCUGGUCCGCCGCAAGGCGAGUACUGGUCAGCCGCCCUUCCUCUCGAAAGCCCCGACUGCUCUUUAUUGCAGUGGUCGGGUAGUUCGGGACGUUUACUUUGAAAAAAUUAGAGUGUUCAAGGCAGGCCUACGCCUGAAUACAUUAGCAUGGAAUAAUGGAAGAGGACCUCGGUCCUAUUUUGUUGGUUUCCAGGACCGAAGUAAUGAUUAAGAGGGACAGUUGGGGGCAUUCGUAUUUAAUUGUCAGAGGUGAAAUUCUCGGAUUUAUGAAAGACGAACAACUGCGAAAGCAUUUGCCAAGGAUGUUUUCAUUAA